AAUUCCAGGCUUUAGACGUAAGGUAAUUUUGAAACGCUGGUCGAACUAGAUCCAUCACUGUCUAUUCCUAUCCCUGCAGCCGCUCCUUAGGACCACCCCUCUUAAGGAAACAACCAGAAAGCCUAGCAUGGCCAAACCACACUGGCCCCACCUCUGCACAGCAAUGCCAGCCUGGCUUGCCCCUGGCCAGAGCAUCUCCCCUCACCCACCUGGUUUGUUUGUGCUGAGGACAACUCAGCCCUCCCUAGGGGGCAUGUUGAAGGCAGGUUUGGGCAAUACUUACCUUUUUUUCUCCUUGGCUGGAUCAGAGGUCUUCCUGGGGGAAGGAGAAGGAAUGAGGACUACGGACUGCACUGCUUCCCUGGGGGCUUGGUGAGGUGGAAAAGGCUCCAGUUCUUUGAGGGUUGGUGCAUUGGUGGGUCUUCAGUAGAAUUCUAGUCAUCCCCAGUUAUCCUCUGUGGCAGUAGGAAUGUGCUGGUAGGGGGCAGUGUGGAGUGGCUGGAAGUGCACAGACUUUGGGGUCACUGGCACCUGGUGCCAGCUGGGUGGGCAUCCUUGGGAAAAGUGCUUAACCUAUCUGAGCCUUAGUUUCCCCGCUUGUGAUAAGGGGGAUAUUAUUGUGGAGAUUUAAUCUUUUUUUUUUUUUUUUUUUUUUUUGAGAGUCUCACUCUGUCGCCCAGGCUGGAGUGCAGUGGUGCGAUCUCGGCUCACUGCAAGCUCCGCCUCCCAGGUUCACGCCAUUCUCCUGCCUCAGCCUCCCGAGUAGCCAGGACUACAGGCGCCCGCCACCACGCCCGGCUAAUUUUUUUGUAUUUUUAGUAGAGAUGGGGUUUCACCACAUUAGCCAGGAUGGUCUCGAUCUCCUGACCUCAUGAUCUUCCCACCUCAGCCUCAUAGUAGGUGCUCAAGAAGUAUUUUCUCUGACAUUCCCAUCCCCCAUCCUUCAUGAGUUGUUGGAUUUGGAAAAGAAGUUUGAAAUGGGCCGGGCGCGUUGGCUCACACCUGUAAUCCCAGCACUUUGGGAGUCUGAGGUGGGCGAAUCACGAGGUCAGGAAUUCGAGACCAGCCCGGCCAACAUAGUGAAACCCCAUCUCUACUAAAAAUACAAAAAAUUAGCCAGGCAUGGUGGCUGAUGCCUGUAAUCUCAACUACUUGGGAGGCUGAGGCAGGAGAAUUGCUUGAACCCGGGAGGCAGAGGUUGUAGUGAGCUGAGAUUGCGCCAUUGCACUCCAGCCCGGGUGACAGUGUAAGACUCCAUCUCAAAAAAAAAAAGAAGUUUGAAAUGGCUCAGUUCAGAACUCAUUUUGUAGAAGAGGAAACUAAGGCCAAAAGUGCUUGGUCACAAGUUGGUUUUCUCUAUUUUUAUAUGUGUAUUUUUUUUUUAUUACAAAAGCAGUCCUUGAAUACAUCCACUAUUUUGAAAAGGUUUGUACAAGUAAAAUUUAAAGUCUCUCUUCCCUUUCUCCCCCCUCAUCUCCACUUCUGUCCUUGAAGUAACCACUGUUUACAGUUUGAUAUUUAUCCUUCUAGAACUUUCCCCAUGCAUUUGCAUAUCUGUGUGUAUGUCGUUUUUUAAAAACAAGUAGGCUCCUCUUGAAUAUUGAUCUGUAACAUGCUUUUUCCCACUUAACCAUGUAUCUUGGAGAUCUUUCCACAUCUUUCUAUGGGUCUGCCUCAUUCUCUUUAAUGGCCACAAGGGUUAAGGAUACGUGUAAUAGAUUUUGACCAUUCCCUGAUUGAUGGUGUUUAUGUUAUUUCCGAAUUCUUGCUAUUACAAGCAUGUUGGCAGUGAAUACCCUCAGGGCUCAUGUAGUAACAGCAUGUCUGCCUGAAAAGCGAGACUCUGGGUCAGAAAGGUAAGCACAUUUCCAACUUGCCUGGAUAUUGCGAACGUGUCCUCCAAAUAGACAGUGUAAAAGUGCCAGUUUUUUCACACCAAGCCAACACGGAGCAUUACCACUUAAAAAAUGUAAUAUUGACAAUAAGAGAAAACUGCUCUGUGUGCAGAGUAUUUUCUCCUGGUCCCCCAAGGACAGGACUCCUGAGUUGAAAGUGCCUUCAGGGAACACAGGUUUAAGUUAGUAAUUUUGUUUCAGCCAAAGAAAAUUGACUAGAAAGCUUGGCUUGUGGCUUUGCCCACAUCCAGACUGGUCUCUAGCUUCACUGCCACUCCCCAGAGUCAUCCAGAGCAUGGAAGGCACCACUCAGGGUGCAGAGCCUGUGCCCCCACCCUUCAGGUGCCCGUGCUCCCCAUUGUUGGGAACAGCCUUGUUUACACUUGUUGCCUGGCGUAAUUACUAACACUCCCCAAAGUGUCCUGGUUGCAUGCUAAUUUCUUUUUUUGAGAUGGAGUCUCGCUUUGUCGCCCAGGCUGGAGUGUAGUGGCAUGAUCUUGGCUCACUGCAACCUCUGCCUCCCAGGUUCAAGCAAUUCUACUGCCUCAGCCUCCUGAGUAGCUGGGAUUACAGGCACGUGCCACCAUGUCUGUCUAAUUUUUGUAUUUUUAAUAGAGAUGGGGUUUCACCAUGUUGGUCAGGCUGGUCUCAAACUCCUGACCUUAAGUGAUGUACCCACCUCGGCCUGCCAAAGUGCUGGGAUUACAGACAUGAGCCACUGCCCCCCAGCCUGGAUGAUAAUUCCUAUGGACAGUCUGUGCCACCCCAUCUCAUGAGCGACCCCUACUGGACUGGAGUACCUGACCCCAGUUACUGGGCUUUGACUUAGGGCCUCUGCUUUAUGUUGCAGAACCCACUCAGAACCCCUGCUUGCUGGGCUCCAUUGUCAUUGUCACUCACCUCCCACUCGCUUCCCCAUCAGCCCAAAGAACUGGCUUGCCUUGCCCGUCUUCACCUCCUGCAGCUGGAGCUGAAUGCUGGGGCCAGCGCCUUCCUGAAGAAGCAGAGAGUUAGUGUUAGAGUUGGGAGGUUGUCCAGCAGACGGGAGGCCAGCCUGGGCAAUGGCAAUCUCAGGAGUGACAGCUGGUGGUCAGCAGAGACUUGCUGUGCACUGGCACUGGGCACCUCAGCAUAUUUUACACAGUACUGCACAUCUUUGUAAUAAUAGCUAACAUUUCACCUACUAUGUUCUGAGCACGUUGAUCUAGUAACUAAUUUAAACCUCACCAAAACACCAGGAAAACAGUACCCUAAGUACUGUUACUGUCAUUUUACACAUGAAAACACCGAGACACAGGUUAAAGAAUUGUUCAGCUGGGCGCAGUGGCUCACACCUGUAAUCCCGGCACUCUGGGAGGCCGAGAUGGGUGGGUCGCUUGAGGUCAGGAGUUCGAGACCAGCCUGGCCAACAUGGUGAAACCCCGUCUCUAAUAAAAAUACAAAAAUUAGCUGGGCAUGGUGGUAGACACCUGUAAUCCCAGCUACUCAGGAGGCUGAGGCAGGAGAAUUGCUUGAACCUGGGAGGCAGAGGCUGCAGUGAGCCAAGAUCCUGCCCCUGCACUCCAGCCUAGGUGACAGAGCAAGACUCCAUUUCAAAAAGAAAGAAUUGUCCAAGGUCACCCAGCUGGGAAGUGAGAGGUGGAACCAGAAGUUGAACUCAGGCUCAAAGGCUGGUCUGAAACACUGCAGUCAUAAUCUCAUUUAAUCUUCACAACCACCAUAACUAGUAGAAACUAUGAUUUCCCCCGGCCCCUGCAUUUUACAGAUGGAGAAACUGAGAUGUAAGGAGGUUAAGUGACUUGUCCAAGGUCACACGGGAAGAGGCUGAGCCAAGAUUCAAAGUCUGACUUCACAGUACUGGUUCUGCUCUAUCAUGGGAAGUGUCUCCAACAUAGAUGAGGAGAGGGCAGCCAGUGAACUCACGGUGGGUCCCCAGGAGGCAAGGCAGGACUGCUUCCCCUCCUUAUCCCCACUCACCUCUCUUCCCCAGGCACUUCCCCCAUUGUCCCAGAUUUUCCUUGCCUUAGAGCCUGGGCCUCCCGGAAGGAAGUGGCAUGUGGUCUGGGGGUGGAGGCUAUUACCCUGGGCAAAGACAUUUUAAUCGUUGUGCUGAUGGCAUCCUCAACCAAGGACUGUGGAUUGACAUUCUCAUUCUUCCAUUAGCCUCUGUGACCUUGGCCAAAGCCUUCUCCCUCUCUGACCUUAACCUGAACUUCUGAACUGGGGCUUGCUCAGUUCUGCUGAAAGGGAGUCGCUCCCUAGUUGAGAGAGUGACAGUGGGUAACAUUCAUUAGACUGUCUUCACAUGUCUGUAUCCCCAGCUCCUGGCACUGAGCCUUGCACACAUAGGAGCCCAGCACACAUGGGACACAGAAUGCCAAAUGAGGAGUCCUUUCUCUGAGAGUCUGGGAAUAGGGAGGGGGCUGGGGAGUCCCCUUUUCCAGGAAAGCUAAAGAUAGACAAACAGAGCCCUAGAGUAAUGCGAGCCGCCUGCCAGGAGCUGGGAGCUGGGCUUGGAUCAGAGGCUCUUUCUUCCAUCCCCAGUUUCCCUAGGGGUAGCGCUGGAGCUCCUGGGACCAGCAGGAACCUGGCUAGGGACGACAUAAACCCUCUUGUCUCUCACAACUUGUGUUGUGGCACCUUUCAGGAUCAGGAAUGGAUUGUUUUCUAAGCCUUGGACUAAUUCACUCACUUCCCAUCUGCUUCCCUCCCACCCCACCAGGACGUCAGUGGCUGGGGCAUCUAUCUUGAGCUGGAGUCACCCAGCCUGGCCAAGAACUGGAAAAGUCUCUUUGGGGAUUUGGACCCAUUUCUGAAAAGCUCAUGAAAACCACUUUGCCUUGGUAAGAGGCAGCCUUCAGGUGCAAGCUGGAGAGAAUGGCCACUUAUGAAUUCAAUAGGACUGACCUUUCUCCCCCACUGGGUUUCUGUGCCUGGUGGGGGGGCAUUCGGAGACAUUGGUUUCCCAUUCACUCCGACAGGACUCCUGCCCCCAGCCGGAGCCCUCCAUAUCCAUUUAACCCAAAUCCCCAACUCCAGGGAUGACUACAGGUUGGGGGAGCCCCGAGAGCAAGGGAGGUAAGUGAUGCGAUCAUGCCCCAUUCCUGUUACCUCAUUUUUUUUUUUUUUUUGAGACAGGGUCUCGCUCUGUUGCCCAGGUUGGAGUGCAGCAGCACAAGCACGACUCACUGCAGCCUCAACUUCCUGGGUCCCAGUGAUCCUCCCGCCUCAGCCUUUUGAGUAGCUGGGGCCACAGAUGUGCAUCAUCAUGCCUGGCAAAUUUUGUUUAUGUUUUGUAGAGAUGGGUCUUUCUAUGUUGCCCAGGCUGAUCUUGAACUCCUGGCCUCCAGCAGUCCUUCUGCCUCUGCCUCCCAAAGUGCUGGGAUUACAGGCAUGAGACUCCACAGCCGGCCGUCACUUAUGUUAUGCUUAGCAUCCCACAGCAUUUGUAAGUUCUUCCUGACUUCUAACCCAGUCUCCUCCCAUAUUCCAAGCCCUGUAUUUUGGGAAGCAGAGGGAUGUGAUAUUAAAGGAGAGUGAAAGGAGAGUAAGGAUUAGACCCAGCUGCAGGAUGAGGUGCUUUUGGGAAACAGUCCAGCAGCACUAGUUGAAGUUUUUAACGUUUCCCAUGGGGCUGCGUAGUGAGGCCCAUCACCCAGCAAGGCUUCUGUCUCUAGACCAGGUACCCUGAUGUUUGGCACUGACUAUAAAAGCAUAUCAAAGCUGGAGAAAAGCCUUGGGGGGUCACUUCCCUCCUCCGUUUUGCAGGUGAGGAAACUGAUGUCCAGAAAGAAGCAGGCAUCAGUGGAGACACUCCUAGCCCUGCUGCCCUCUCCUCACUGCACACACUUCCAGGUUCAGACAAACCGGAAAGGAAACCCACCAUGCAGGACUGUCCAUGUGAUGGCUCUUCCCGUGGCUCCAUUUCUAAGCGCCUCCGAGGACCUCAUCGUGGCCCAGGACCGCAAGCCAAGGCCACCCCAGUGUCCUUACCAUCCUGGGAAUGGGAGGAGUCAGGCCCAGCCUUGUCCUGUCUGCCCCCCUGGAAGCCUUCCCUGAGCACUGGCCUCUUAUUUACCCGUCUUUGUCUCUGGCUUGUUGGUAUCUGUCCCUUGUCUGAUUAGGGAACGCCUGAGGUCAGGAUCUUUGCCUCCCCAAUCAGAUUGUCAGGCAGGAGUGGGGGUAGUGCAGAUGCUGGGUCAUUUCUACAUGUGAGACCAAAUAGUGGUCCUGUUUAAGUUGAUCCCCUUGAAAGAAAAUUCUGGAAAAGCUCCUCAGAUGCACAGAUACACAGAAUCAGACCUUGGGCAAAGUGUGUAGUUGUGCUUUUGAAGCUGUGCAACCUUGGACAAACUACUUGACUUCUCUGUGCCUCAGUUUCCUUAUUUGUGAAAUGAGGGGUAGUCAUGAUACCUUCCCCAUGAGGUUGAUGGGAGGAUUGAGUUAAUAUUUAUAAAGCAUUUCAGACAGUGCCA
RNAcentral lists this long non-coding RNA (6370 nucleotides) under Homo sapiens (human). RNAcentral's name for it is "HSALNT0390531". The record is from RNAcentral. Lineage: Eukaryota; Metazoa; Chordata; Mammalia; Primates; Hominidae.